UAACAACCUGACCCCAUAACAAAGCACCCUGACCCCAUAACAACCUGACCCCAUAACACCCCUGACACCAAAGCACCCCCUGACCCUAAAACCAUCCUGAUCCCAUAAGACCCCCUGACCCCUAAACAGCCCUGACCCCAAAGCAACCCCCAACCCCACAGCCCUGACCCCAAAACUCCCCUGACCCCCAAACCACCCCGACCCCAAAGCCCCCCACCCCAUAGCCCCUGUUUGUGGGGAACUUGUGGGGUCAGGACCAUCUAUGGGGUCAGUCCUGUCUGUGGGGUCAGCCCUGGCUGUGGGGUCUAUGGGGAAGUUGUGGGGCCAGCCCUAUUUAUGGGGUCAGUGCCAUCUAUGGGGUCAGCCCUAUAUAUAGGGUCAGCCCCAUCUAUGGGGUUAGCCCUGUCUAUGGGGUCAGCCCUAUUUAUAGGGUCAGUGCCAUCUAUGGGGUCAGCCCUAUCUAUAGGGUCAGCCCCAUCUAUGGGGUCAGUCCUGUCUAUGGGGUCAACCCGUUUGUGGGGUCAGCCCUAUAUAUGGGGUCUAUGGGGCAGUUGUGGGGUCAGCCUCAUCUAUGGGGUCAGGCCCUGUUUGUGGAGUCAGCCUUGGCUGUGGGGUCUAUGGGGUCAACCUCAUCUAUGGGGUCAGCCCAUGUCUAUGGGGUCAGCCCUGUUUGUGGGGUCAGCUCCAUCUAUGGGGUCAGCCCUGGCUGUGGGGUCUAUGGGGUCAGCCCUGUUUAUGGGGUCAGCCCUGGCUGUGGGGUCUAUGGGGUCAGCCCUGUUUAUGGGGUCAGCCCAUCUCUGUGGUGUCUAUGGGGUCAGCCCCAUCUAUGGGGUCAGCCCAUGUCUAUGGGGUCAGCCCUAUUUAUGGGGUCUGUGGGGUCAGGCCUGUCUAUGGGGUCAGCCCCAUUUAUGGGGUCAGCCCUGUCUGUGGGGUCUGUGGGGUCAGCCCUGUCUAUGGGGUCAUUCCUGUCUGUGGGAUCUAUGGGGUCAUCCCUGUCUGUGGGGUCUAUGGGGUCAGCCCUAUUUAUGGGGUCUGUGGGGCAGUUGUAGGGUCAGGCCUGUUUGUGGGGUCAGCCCCGUCUAUGGGGUCAGCCCU
This is a long non-coding RNA of Coturnix japonica (Japanese quail), 1095 nucleotides long. The record is from Ensembl. Lineage: Eukaryota; Metazoa; Chordata; Aves; Galliformes; Phasianidae.